CAGAGUCCUCCCCCACUUCCUGCCCACAAACAUUCCACAUCAGAUGUCCGCAGAGAUCCCUGUGUGGACACAGAAAUUUCCCAUGUAGAAAUAAAGGUCUGCCUCCAGGUGGGGGAGAAGGGCAGAGAGGGGGCCAGCUAUGAUUUUAUGUAUACAAUUGUUAGGGUUUAUAUUUGCUCAAAGCAACGUUUUAAAGCGUCCAUAACUAUGGUACGGAAGGUAAAAGAGUCCACCACAAGGUGACUAUGUUUAAUAAGAAUAGUUACAAGAGUAACACUUCCUAGAGGGGCGGGCACUGGGACUUGGAUAUGCAGGGGGAGGAGGCGAGGGCCCUCCAGGGAAAGUGCUGUGAGCCUCCCUGUCUUGUGGCUGCCUGUGCCUGGGAAGCCAGGGUCUCUGACUGAAGUGCAUCCUCCUCGCGUCCUGCCGGAGCAACCCCCGGAUACAUAGGAGCUGAGAAGAGAAGCCGUGUUUGAGCAAGGCUGCCGGGUGGUGUCGUGAAUCAGAGGUGGUGAACCACAGAAAAUCAAAUGAAUGCUGAUCCAGGACAGAGUCAAGAAAAGAGACUAAAAGGUUAAACUCACCUGUGGUACUGAUGCUCAAAGAAAAUUACUGAAUUUUAGGGUCUCACACAGGAAAAUAUGACAUCUCUAUACUAAGAGUUUCAUCUGCAACCUAUUUUGGAGCAGCUGAACACUGAUGAAUUAAGAAAGUUCAAAUCUCUACUGAGUCCUUCCCAUGAAAGAGUACAUGUGGGCCUCAACAGCACUCCUGGCUGCCAAGGGCAUUUGGACAGACAAUGUUGUUUGAUAGAGAAGACCUUAGGAGGAUUGGGAUACAGGACAGUGAUCUCUGUCCCUUCCUGGACAAGGCUAUCCUUCAGAGGGACAGACUAUGAGGACUGGUACUGCUUCAUAUAUGUCAAUGUCCAGCAGCUUCUUCCUGCCAUGUUCUAUGUUCUGGGGUGUGAGGAGGAAGAAGAUGGGGAGACCUGCAGGUGGGAUAUUGGGGAUGUGGAGAAACUGUUCUCCACAGGAGAAAGAUUAAAGAACCCCAGCCUGAUCCAUGAGAUACUUCUUGUUUGGUCUUUUGAAUGAAAAGAGAGUCAAGGAGCUGGAGACAAUUUUCAACUGCCAGAUGUCAAUGGAGGUGAAACAGAAUUGCUGAAAUACAAAGGACUUUCCAAUGAGAAUAAAACUUCUCUUCAAUAAUGGUCAUGAAGGAACUGUUUUCUGUUUCCAUGAAUCUCAGAAGAGGUUGUGAAGGAUGUAGUGGCACAAUUUAAGGAAAUGUCUUUUCAUUUGAAAAAUACAUUUGAAGUGAUGUAUUCUUCAUUCCACCUCAAGCACUGUCAAAAUUUACAGAAAAUCUCACUUCAGGUGGGAAAUGAUUCUGCAUCAGAAUUACAUUCUUAGUUUGAGAGCUUAGGAUCUGAAUUCUCCCUGUUGCUGGACUUCCUGCCUGAUGAACAUUCAAAGCGGGAGGCAUGGUGUCAUGACUAGGAAUGAGUGCUUUGGAACCAAUGCUUGUUUUAAUGUGAGGUUCCAGAAAGAUUAUCACUGGCUUUGUCUCUGGAAGAAUCUCUGCUCUGUGUUUAGAUCAAAUUAGAACCUGAGCUUUCUGCAAACUUAGAGCAGGAUGUUAUCAACAUGGUGAUGUAAACAGCUACUGGAAACUUCUCUCCAGAGACUCAAUGAAAAAAAUGAUAAUUCUGAAUGGUUUAAAACUCUGGAAGAGGAUGGAGACUGGAGAAAGACACUGCAAAAGCUGAACUGAAGAAAGAAGAAAUGUCAGAAAUGGAUGAAAUCCAUAAGACAAGGAUGAAGAGUUAAAGGAUGAAAUCUCAUAAGACAAUGGAAGAAUGAAACAUAUCUUAUGGAUAAGGGGUGAUUACUGAAUAUCUUAGACAUGCCUAUACAUUGUUAUAUUUUACAUUUCAAAGAAGUUAAAAAGAAGAAAAAUUGAGAAGGAAGAGUAAAAGCAUAUGAAAAACCUGGAUAGAUAAAGAAGGAAAAUUGCAAGCAAUAUCCAGAAAGAUGGCGUGAACAUGGAUCAGAUCUACCUGGGAAAAUGACCAUUCGAUUGUGAUCACUGAUCCUGCCCAUCCUACACCCACAGCUCAUUUCACUUACUUGUGUGCUGCAUUGUGGCCCACACUGACCUUUCCUCAGUGAGCUCAUCCUCUGAAACUUUCAGCUCGCUUUGACCUCUCCUCCAGGAGAGCCAUAUUCAUCAGUUAGUAAGCUUGGGUCCCAGGAUAGAUCUGGUAACUAUGGAAGAAUGAGAUUAUGAGGAGGUUGUUUGCUUUUCAUCAACACCUACUUGGCAAUUUUGCUGGAUGCCUAUCUCUGCAACCCUACCAUCUAUUCAGGAUCUUCCAUUAUCUCCUAUAUAUUUUUGAGUUAUUCUCUCCUGCAUGCUAAAGGGUACAGCACUGUGAGUACCUGGGGAAUAUGAGGGGUGAAAUUUCUAAUAAA
Long non-coding RNA from Choloepus didactylus (southern two-toed sloth), 2477 nucleotides. RefSeq lists it as uncharacterized. NCBI's taxonomy places the organism in Eukaryota, Metazoa, Chordata, Mammalia, Pilosa, Megalonychidae. The record is from RefSeq and is a predicted model, not a curated record. The transcript has 9 exons.